GCUGUAGGUGGUGCGUCAGAAAUGACCAGCUUCAUGUAGUUCUACUGGAACAUAGGGUCAGUUUCAGCAAAUAUGACAGAAAGUUACUUUUAGAAGGCUUACCUACUGCACCUUUUUAAAUCGUGAGGUGCAAAUCCAUCCAAUAUGGGCAUAAUUCCUGGGGAUGCUGAACUACUAAACGGCGGUUUCCCAUUGACAGGAGAGGAAGGGGUAAACCGAGACACAUUGUGCGUCUGCGCAAGGUCCUUGUUCUCCUGCAUGCCACUUCUCUUGGUAGACCUAGGUGUGUCGGCCCUCGCAAAACAUUCUGAUAAGGUUUCUUUGUGUUCUAGUCCCUUUUUAUUGUGUAACUUUGAAGAAGCUGCCUUUUUUCUUUUUUUGUUUCUUUUAAAAGCCCAUGAACUAUACAGACUUAGUGAUAGACAAUUGUGUUGGCUUUCUACGUCAUCCGCUCACUUGCAAAGCAAACAACAGGGAUGUAGAGUUGCGGGCUUCGGCAGAGACAUAUGCAUUUUUCGGGUCACUGAGGGAGUUUGUGCGCUGUAGGGUGUGAAUGUUCACAGUGGAUCAGACAGGUUGUAAAUAAACCAACUGUUAUCCAGAUUAUUUAAACCACAUGUACGGAGGCAAACGUUAAAGUGAGUGCGCCUGAAAUACCUGAAAGCAGGUAUUUCCCAAAGGUCGUUUUUUUUUGAGAACCUAUCCUUUUAAAACCUGUCUUUAUAGCAACUUUCUCUGAUAGUAUAUAUUAAUAGAAAUUACAGCCAAAACUACAGAUACAAAAUGUCAGUGGUUUAAGUAAUGUGUUUUUUUUUUCUUCCUCGACGUUUCCCCAGUUAAGGACACACUGUUGCGGACACUUGAUGAUCAAGAAGAACAAGGAGAACCAAAAACAGAAGGGGACUCUUUAUGAUCUUUUUCUUUCUGAGGCUCCAAAGUACAGUACUAUUAGCUAAGCGUAGAUUGUAGUAGUAAGACAUUCCCAGCAUUACGAUGACAAUCUUUUGAACUCAAUGCUGAAAAAAAAAAAAUAAAUAAAAUCUUGUGUAAGGUCGGUCUCUCAUGCUGCUCGUGCUGCUGUUUGUAGCACACGGACGGGAGGGGAAAAGAAAAGGAAAAACAGCUUGGCUUUCUUCACGACAAAGGACCGGGAGCAGAUGGACACACGUUUUCUGUGAGCGAACGAGCUAAUGGAAGCCCUGAACAACUGGUUGGCCUAAAGGCUGUGGAGGGGGAGGACACGUGCUGGACUCUUAUUGUGUAAAAUUACUGUACAUUUUUUCUC
This is a long non-coding RNA of Perca fluviatilis (European perch), 1285 nucleotides long. RefSeq lists it as uncharacterized. The transcript has 2 exons. Lineage: Eukaryota; Metazoa; Chordata; Actinopteri; Perciformes; Percidae. The record is from RefSeq and is a predicted model, not a curated record.